Entamoeba invadens IP1 is the source of this 71-nucleotide transfer RNA. It matches the Rfam family "tRNA". Rfam says of the family: Transfer RNA (tRNA) molecules are approximately 80 nucleotides in length. Their secondary structure includes four short double-helical elements and three loops (D, anti-codon, and T loops). Further hydrogen bonds mediate the characteristic L-shaped molecular structure. tRNAs have two regions of fundamental functional importance: the anti-codon, which is responsible for specific mRNA codon recognition, and the 3' end, to which the tRNAs corresponding amino acid is attached (by aminoacyl-tRNA synthetases). tRNAs cope with the degeneracy of the genetic code in two manners: having more than one tRNA (with a specific anti-codon) for a particular amino acid; and 'wobble' base-pairing, i.e. permitting non-standard base-pairing at the 3rd anti-codon position. The record is from Rfam. Lineage: Eukaryota; Evosea; Mastigamoebida; Endamoebidae.
GCCCACAUAGUACAGAGGUAGUACAUCAGAUUGUGGCUUUGAUAACCCAGGUUCGAUUCCUGGUGUGGGCA